Molecule: small nuclear RNA, 105 nt
Organism: Mustela erminea (ermine)
Lineage: Eukaryota; Metazoa; Chordata; Mammalia; Carnivora; Mustelidae
Source: RefSeq, a predicted model, not a curated record
GUGCUUACUUCAGCAACACAUACACUAAAAUUGAAAUGAUAGACGAGAUAACCAUGGCUCCUGUGUAAGGAUGACAUGUAAAUUUGUGAAAUGUUCCAUUAAAAA